CCUCAAUCGUCUAGUCUAGAUCACAAUCACAACACAGAACCAAGAGCGACCACCUGUGUUGGAUGACCAUGGCAAAGUAUGCACAUAUGUCUUUCAUCAUUAUGGUCCUUGUUCUACGCGCCAGCUUCCAAGCCCAAGGUAUGAAACGCACCUCUGGUCACUAAAUUUAAGUACACUGGACAAAAUAGUUACAGAAAGCGACUCAUUUGGCGACCUCAGCGCCUGGGCUCCCGCCGUCGAUCUCGUCGGGUCCCCUCACUUCCAUCGCCCUCGUCGGCGUCGUGAGGUGAGGGGCCCCAGAUCCAUGGGUGGGCUGUGUAUACAGCGUAGUUUGGUGGUUCUGUAGCUAGGCUUUUGCUGUCGGGGUGGGCUCCUCGGCAUUGCGCUUGGCUCCGGCCGGGCGGCGAGGGUGGCGGAGACGCCCGCGAAUUGGUGUGCUUCGGGUGCUGCAUUGUCUCGUCGGCCUCGUCCAUGGUGGUGGCUUCAGGUCAGCUGCUUGUGUGUGCUCCAAAUCGAGCGCUUGAUCUGGUUGGGCGCUCGCCGGCGUCAUCCUUGGCUCUGGCUCGGGAGGAGCUCGGGGCGGGCUCCGUCGUCGGUUGCGGCCACAGCUCAGAAGCGUUUUUGCGGGGACGGCGCUUGGUGGGAGGCUGCGUCUCGUCGGCGUUUUGUUUUUGCGGGGCUCGAUCCACCUCGAGCCCGUCUUCUGGGACGGGAUCGAUGGGCCAUCGGCGUGGAUUCCAAAAUUUGCACGAUACUGAAAGUUCACUUACACGAUACUGAAACAAAUAUAACAAUCAUCCAUUGCAUGAUGAUAUAUUUAGUGAAUAUGCUCUCACAUGAAACAAAAUGAAAAUUUUAUUGUCUAUCUUUUUUAUGGAUGAUCUCAUAGAACGUUAGUAAAGUUUUUUUGUAAUCAUAAAUAAAUACUUGAUAUGCAGGACAACUAGGACCGACGGACACACACAACAUCACCGAGUACAUCCCAUUGGAGUUCACAAAGACUUUUUUCCAGACCCACGGAAUACAUCCCUCCGAUACAUCGAUUGCGUUUAAAAGGUGUAGGUCGUGCCCCUGCUGCCCAAAGGAUCCCAAGAAACCAUGUAUUGAAGCACCAAGCUGUUGCUAUCAGAUAAACUGCAAUGAUCCUGGGCAACCACUUGGUACUUGUACUGAACGCGCGUUCUCCUGUAAUUGUGACAAUAGUUGCAAGUGAUCAAGUGUUUCCCUUAAAAAACUGUUUUUGUUUUCCCGCAAAAAAAAAACUGUUUUUCGUUAGCUAUGAAGAAGCAAGAU
This 1293-nucleotide long non-coding RNA is filed under the name Triticum aestivum (bread wheat). Its description in RNAcentral is "long non-coding RNA (TAES_LNC000547)". Lineage: Eukaryota; Viridiplantae; Streptophyta; Magnoliopsida; Poales; Poaceae. The record is from RNAcentral.